Molecule: ribosomal RNA, 474 nt
Filed under: uncultured bacterium
Lineage: Bacteria
Description: bacterial SSU rRNA
Rfam family: Bacterial small subunit ribosomal RNA
Source: RNAcentral
AGUGAAUAGAUACCCGGGUAGUCCACGCCGUAAACGAUGAAUGCCCAGUCGUCGGCAAGCAUGCUUGUCGGUGACACACCUAACGGAUUAAGCAUUCCGCCUGGGGAGUACGGUCGCAAGAUUAAAACUCAAAGGAAUUGACGGGGGCCGCACAAGCGGUGGAGCAUGUGGUUUAAUUCGAAGCAACGCGCAGAACCUUACCAACCCUUGACAUGGCGAUCGCGGUUCCAGAGAUGGUUCCUUCAGUUCGGCUGGAUCGCACACAGGUGCUGCAUGGCUGCCGUCAGCUCGUGUCGUGAGAUGUUCGGUUAAGUCCGGCAACGAGCGCAACCCGACACUUCUAGUUGCCAGCAUUCAGUUGGGCACUCUAGAAGAACUGCCGAUGAUAAGUCGGAGGAAGGUGUGGAUGACGUCAAGUCCUCAUGGCCCUUACGGGUUGGGCUACACACGUGCUACAAUGGCGGUGACAAUGGG